GACGAACGCUGGCGGCGUGCUUAACACAUGCAAGUCGAACGGAAAGACCCUGCUUUUGUGGGGUGCUCGAUUGGCGAACGGGGGAGUGACACAUGAGUAACCUGCCCUUGACUUUGGGAUAACUUCAGGAAACUGGGGCUAAUACAGGAGAGGAGCUCCUGCUGCGUGUGGGUGAUUGGAAAGUUUCGGCGGUUGGGGAUGGACUCGCGGCUUAUGAGCUUGUUGGUGUGGUAGUGGCUUACCAAGGCUUUGACGGGUAGCCGGCCUGAGAGGGUGACCGGCCACAUGGGGACUGAGAUACGGACCAGAAUCCUACGGGAGGCAGCAGUGGGGAAUAUUGCACAAUGGGCGGAAGCCUGAUGCAGCAACGCCGCGUGCGGAAUGACGGCCUUCGGGUUGUAAACAGCUUUCGAAUGUGACGAAGCGUUCGUGACGGUAAUGGGUAAAGAAGCCACGGCUAACUACGUG
Molecule: ribosomal RNA, 468 nt
Filed under: uncultured bacterium
Lineage: Bacteria
Description: partial 16S ribosomal RNA
Rfam family: Bacterial small subunit ribosomal RNA
Source: RNAcentral